RNAcentral lists this unclassified non-coding RNA (166 nucleotides) under soil metagenome. RNAcentral's name for it is "partial contains 5.8S ribosomal RNA, internal transcribed spacer 2, and large subunit ribosomal RNA". The record is from RNAcentral.
AACGCACGAGACCUGCGGACCUGCGGAAGGAUCAUUAGUGAACGCCCUCACGGGCUUAUAACUAUUCCAAACCUCUGUGAACCGUGCCCUUCGGGGCUAUUUUACAAACAUGGCGUAAUGAACGUCAUAUAUCAUAACAAAACAAAACUUUCAACAACGGAUCUCU